GGGCGAGUUCGAUCAUCUGGUAGAUGGUCUGUUUCCCGGUCAGGCGGUCGACGAAUUCGCGGGCCACGGCUUCGAGUUCCGUCUCGCUCU
RNAcentral lists this transfer RNA (90 nucleotides) under Bryobacteraceae bacterium. RNAcentral describes it as "tRNA-Gly". Lineage: Bacteria; Pseudomonadati; Acidobacteriota; Terriglobia; Bryobacterales; Bryobacteraceae. The record is from RNAcentral.